Molecule: non-coding RNA, 472 nt
Organism: Puntigrus tetrazona (Sumatra barb)
Lineage: Eukaryota; Metazoa; Chordata; Actinopteri; Cypriniformes; Cyprinidae
Source: the annotation of a RefSeq genome assembly
AGAGUGUUUAUAGUGCUGUGAGUUUAACACUUCAUGACUGAGAGCAGAACACAACACAAUCUUCAUCAUCACACAAGACUCAACUACUACAAUGAACAACAUCCUCAUCCUCAUCUGGACCGUUGCAGCUUUUAUCCUAGAAUCCAGAGGAGUCACUCUGACUCAACCUAAAGUUAAAACUGUCCAGCUCGGUCAAACAGCUACAAUAGAGUGUAACAUAGAUGUAGGAAUAUACAGCAGCUACUUAGCCUGGUAUCAGCAGAAACCUGGAGAAGCUCCUAAACUCCUCAUUUAUUACAUAAACAACCUCCAGUCAGGAACUCCAUCUAGAUUCAGUGGAAGUGGAUCUGGAAGUGAUUUCUCUCUGACCAUCAGAGGAGUCCAGACUGAAGAUACAGGAGAUUAUUACUGUCAGAGUGUACACUAUAUCAGUGGUAGCUGGGUGUUCACACAGUGAUAAAGAGUCGUACAA